GUGGGGAAUAUUGCACAAUGGGGGAAACCCUGAUGCAGCGACGCCGCGUGAGCGAAGAAGUAUUUCGGUAUGUAAAGCUCUAUCAGCAGGGAAGAUAAUGACGGUACCUGACUAAGAAGCCCCGGCUAACUACGUGCCAGCAGCCGCGGUAAUACGUAGGGGGCAAGCGUUAUCCGGAUUUACUGGGUGUAAAGGGAGCGUAGACGGCAAGGCAAGUCUGAUGUGAAAACCCAGGGCUUAACCCUGGGACUGCAUUGGAAACUGUCUGGCUCGAGUGCCGGAGAGGUAAGCGGAAUUCCUAGUGUAGCGGUGAAAUGCGUAGAUAUUAGGAAGAACACCAGUGGCGAAGGCGGCUUACUGGACGGUAACUGACGUUGAGACUCGAAAGCGUGGGGAGCAAACAGGAUUAGAUACCCGAGUAGUCC
RNAcentral lists this ribosomal RNA (425 nucleotides) under uncultured bacterium. RNAcentral's name for it is "partial 16S ribosomal RNA". It matches the Rfam family "Bacterial small subunit ribosomal RNA", at positions 354 to 796 of the family's 1533-position model. The record is from RNAcentral.